This 450-nucleotide ribosomal RNA is filed under the name uncultured bacterium. RNAcentral describes it as "partial 16S ribosomal RNA". It matches the Rfam family "Bacterial small subunit ribosomal RNA", at positions 354 to 796 of the family's 1533-position model. The record is from RNAcentral.
GUGGGGAAUUUUGGACAAUGGGCGAAAGCCUGAUCCAGCAAUGCCGCGUGCAGGAUGAAGGCCUUCGGGUUGUAAACUGCUUUUGUACGGAACGAAAAGCUUCGGGUUAAUACCCUGGAGCCAUGACGGUACCGUAAGAAUAAGCACCGGCUAACUACGUGCCAGCAGCCGCGGUAAUACGUAGGGUGCAAGCGUUAAUCGGAAUUACUGGGCGUAAAGCGUGCGCAGGCGGUUUUGUAAGACAGAGGUGAAAUCCCCGGGCUCAACCUGGGAACUGCCUUUGUGACUGCAAGGCUAGAGUACGGCAGAGGGGGAUGGAAUUCCGCGUGUAGCAGUGAAAUGCGUAGAUAUGCGGAGGAACACCGAUGGCGAAGGCAAUCCCCUGGGCCUGUACUGACGCUCAUGCACGAAAGCGUGGGGAGCAAACAGGAUUAGAAACCCGGGUAGUCC